UUCUGGACUGUUCUCUGAGACAAGCAUCCAAAGCUCAUCUCUCUCCUCCACAAUCUCUCUCCGUCUCUCACUCUCUCUUGUGUACAGUUCCACCGCCAACGCCAAGCUUUCUCGGUAACAUAUACAUCCAUAUAUAUGCAAAUAAUUGAUUUGUUCUGUUGCUUCUAUUAGUUACCUUAUAUUUUUGUGCUUAAUAUCUGCUUGUAGCUUAGGCUUUGUCCGAUUCAAGCUUGUUAUCUCUCUCCCCCUCUCUCUCCCUCUCCCUCUCCCUAUCUCUCUCUCUCACACUCUUUNUCUGCCUCUUUCACUCUCGCUCUCUCCCUCUCUCUUCAUCUCUCUCUCCCCUUGUGCGUGUCAUAGUCUUAAAGUUGAAGAUUAUCCAUAUGUUAUCAUUUUAUGUAGUUCGUGUUAUAGCAUAUUUGCGAUGCAGUUGAAUUCUCUGAUGUUCGUAAUGUUUUAAACUUUAAUUGUGUUACUUGAUAAGUAUUCGAAACAGAACAGGUCCUGUGAAAGCGUAUUAGCAUAAGUCCCGUAGAUAGAUGUUUUAUUUCCGUGA
RNAcentral lists this long non-coding RNA (556 nucleotides) under Daucus carota (carrot). RNAcentral describes it as "long non-coding RNA (DCAR_LNC002513)". Lineage: Eukaryota; Viridiplantae; Streptophyta; Magnoliopsida; Apiales; Apiaceae. The record is from RNAcentral.